GUUUAGACAUGGAUGUCUCCUCUUCUCUUUAUCCAAAAGUUGGACAAAAAUUUUACAUCUCUAUUGUAGAGAUUUGAUGCAUGGAUUUUAGGAAGAAAAAAGAAGAAAAGAUCUUCUCAUGAUCUCUAGCAUAGAAAUCAAGAUCCUCCUACAUCUUCUUAUUUUCUAAGAGUGUCUUAGGAGAAACGAAGAUUUUCAACCAUC
This 204-nucleotide long non-coding RNA is filed under the name Elaeis guineensis (African oil palm). Its description in RNAcentral is "long non-coding RNA (EGUI_LNC052861)". The record is from RNAcentral. Lineage: Eukaryota; Viridiplantae; Streptophyta; Magnoliopsida; Arecales; Arecaceae.